RNAcentral lists this long non-coding RNA (686 nucleotides) under Cotesia glomerata. RNAcentral's name for it is "uncharacterized LOC123274138". Lineage: Eukaryota; Metazoa; Arthropoda; Insecta; Hymenoptera; Braconidae. The record is from RNAcentral.
UAAAGGAACAAAUAUCUGGAAUUGUUUCUGAUAAUAAUUUAACUAUUUCAUUUAUUAAAUUGUUAACGUUGAACGAUUAAUAAAUUAAUUUCUUUAUUUAUUAUCGUUGAACGAUUAAUAAAUACACUUUAGUUUUUUUUCCAUAAGAUUUAUCAGGACUUCGAGAAAUUAUCGUACGUAUAUAUCAAAAAAAAAAUUAUUACAGUUUAUCUUAAAAAAGUUCAUGUAAAGCUUCAGAGUGAGUCAAGAAUUGACCAGCAAUACGUGGUGGUCAACUGGUUUGGGUCGUCGGCGUCACUAUUAUUCAAUUUCUGCUUUCAUACAGCAGUCGCAAUCAAAUUUUCUGCUAUUAAGCAGUAGCGAUUUCAUAAAAUCUGCUAAAAUUAGCAGUCGUUUUGAAAGUUUCACUUUUAGCCAGCAAUUGAGCGCUUAUUUUCUGCUUUUGAAUAGCAGUUAUUUGAUAAGUUCUGCUACUAAUCAGCAGUCAAAUAUUAAUAUUUCUGCUCUCAGUUAGCAGUCGUUGUAAAAGUUUCACUUUUAGCCAACAAUUGAGCGCUAAUUUUCUGCUAUCGAAAAGCAGUCAAUUAAUAAGUUUUGCUACUAAUCAACAGUCAAUUUUAAUAUUCAAUCAACCAUACUGUUUCUUAUUAAUUAUAGUUUAUUAAAGUGUAGUAUUUGUUUUGAUC